GUGGAGCUCAGUGAAAAGUGAAUCCCAAGGCCGAGGAUCGAUCAGCAGAUCCAGGAUGGCCCAAUUUGAGCAGAUGGUGGUUUCUUAUGUGCCAGAGUUGCACAAUGAUUGGAAGUCCGUCCUUAGUGAUUGCAGCAACAAAAUACCAGGAAGUUAUCUACGAGUUUCAGCCGUUAUGGCCUUUAUCAAGAUACUCCUAGUAGCUGCAAUUGUCUUUUAAAUACAAAACAGAAUACAUGGAAGCAGAAGUUCUAUUUAGAGCGGGAGAGAACUGGUGAACUGAGCACUAUCCAUGAAACACAAGACAUAGCAAGAUUGUAAACCUUUAAACUGAAUUCAAUACAUUACCUCAUUACACUGUAUAUGUAUAUUUAUAUAUAGGUAGUUGAUAAAUUCAGAUAAAUCUGUGUCUCCUAUAAUCUAAGCAGUGGAGGUUAGUUAAUUUGAAUGCUAUAAUCACAUUAGGAGUUUCAAAGUAAACACUGUAUUAUCAUUUAAAUUUUCUGUG
Molecule: long non-coding RNA, 508 nt
Organism: Bombina bombina (fire-bellied toad)
Lineage: Eukaryota; Metazoa; Chordata; Amphibia; Anura; Bombinatoridae
Exons: 3
Source: RefSeq, a predicted model, not a curated record